AAUAGAUACCCCGGUAGUCCACCCCGUAAACGUUGGGAACUAGUUGUGGGGUCCUUUCCACGGAUUCCGUGACGCAGCUAACGCAUUAAGUUCCCCGCCUGGGGAGUACGGCCGCAAGGCUAAAAACUCAAAGGAAUUGACGGGGACCCGCACAAGCGGCGGAGCAUGCGGAUUAAUUCGAUGCAACGCGAAGAACCUUACCAAGGCUUGACAUACACCGGAAACGGCCAGAGAUGGUCGCCCCGCAAGGUCGGUGUACAGGUGGUGCAUGGUUGUCGUCAGCUCGUGUCGUGAGAUGUUGGGUUAAGUCCCGCAACGAGCGCAACCCUCGUUCUAUGUUGCCAGCACGUAAUGGUGGGAACUCAUGGGAUACUGCCGGGGUCAACUCGGAGGAAGGUGGGGAUGACGUCAAAUCAUCAUGCCCCUUAUGUCUUGGGCUUCACGCAUGCUACAAUGGCCGGUACAAAGGGCUGCAAUACCGUGAGGUGGAGCGAAUCCCAAAAAGCCGGUCCAGUUCGGAUUGAGGUCUGCAACUCGACCUCAUGAA
Molecule: ribosomal RNA, 547 nt
Filed under: uncultured bacterium
Lineage: Bacteria
Description: bacterial SSU rRNA
Rfam family: Bacterial small subunit ribosomal RNA
Source: RNAcentral